GGGUGGCUAGCUCAGUUGGUAGAGCAACGGACUCUUAAUCCGUGGGUCCAGGGUUCGAGCCCCUGGCCACCCA
Lactobacillus apis is the source of this 73-nucleotide transfer RNA. It matches the Rfam family "tRNA". Rfam says of the family: Transfer RNA (tRNA) molecules are approximately 80 nucleotides in length. Their secondary structure includes four short double-helical elements and three loops (D, anti-codon, and T loops). Further hydrogen bonds mediate the characteristic L-shaped molecular structure. tRNAs have two regions of fundamental functional importance: the anti-codon, which is responsible for specific mRNA codon recognition, and the 3' end, to which the tRNAs corresponding amino acid is attached (by aminoacyl-tRNA synthetases). tRNAs cope with the degeneracy of the genetic code in two manners: having more than one tRNA (with a specific anti-codon) for a particular amino acid; and 'wobble' base-pairing, i.e. permitting non-standard base-pairing at the 3rd anti-codon position. NCBI's taxonomy places the organism in Bacteria, Bacillati, Bacillota, Bacilli, Lactobacillales, Lactobacillaceae. The record is from Rfam.